Molecule: transfer-messenger RNA, 398 nt
Filed under: Flavobacteriales
Lineage: Bacteria; Pseudomonadati; Bacteroidota; Flavobacteriia
Also listed under: 1 other name
Description: PHOS-HE28 sp008016945 Standard tmRNA
Rfam family: transfer-messenger RNA
About the family: Bacterial tmRNA, also known as 10Sa RNA or SsrA, is named for its dual tRNA and mRNA-like properties. Its role is to liberate the mRNA from a stalled ribosome.
Source: RNAcentral
GGGGCCGACCUGGUUUCGACAGCGGCUUCGUGAUGUGUGUAAGCAUGCCGGGCGUGAUGUGCGGCCCGUAUCCCAGUGCAUCGACGCCAUAACUGGCGAAGUAGACUACGCUCUCGCUGCUUAAUAGCCCAAGGCUAUGAGGCUUAAUCCACGUGAACAACAGUAGCGUGGACGAGUACCCCUCGGGGAGGCCCGUGAUCCUCCUUCCCGGCCCAGGGGUGUCAUCCUGGAGAACUGGCCUGUGCGGUGGUCCGGAGCACAGGUGAGAAACAGGACCUAAGCCUUGUGUGGGGUGCCCUUCCCCAGCGCAUGGUCGAAAACCAAUGAAGCGGCUACGCAUGUAGAAAGCCCAUGUUGCGGUCGUUUGGACGGCGGUUCGAUCCCGCCCGGCUCCACCC